Peromyscus leucopus (white-footed mouse) is the source of this 579-nucleotide long non-coding RNA. RefSeq lists it as uncharacterized. The record is from RefSeq and is a predicted model, not a curated record. The transcript is spliced from 2 exons. NCBI's taxonomy places the organism in Eukaryota, Metazoa, Chordata, Mammalia, Rodentia, Cricetidae.
UGCUCUUCGGUGAUCUGACAUUCCUAAGCAAAGAGGAAGGAACCAGAAGGCACCCUGCCGUGAUUCCAUGCUGUGAUCCAGCUAUGCAGAACAGUUCCACCGGAACAGACCUACAGGGAACCCCUCAUCUUCUCUGUACUUCAUUCAGCGUGGGGCUGGGUGCAGUACGAAGACGGUGGACACACCAUGUCUGCAGCUGCCUUGAGAUGCCACCUUUACCGAGCCACUACCAUUCCCCAGGAGAGGCUGGAAACGCAGUCAUUAGCACAGGCUAGACCAUAUUACCGCCUGGCAAGGCAAUGACCCUGCUUUUGGCCAGGAGGCAGGCAGAAGUGAGGAGAACUAUUUGUACCCGUGGACGCCUUUGCCCGUGGGUUGACAGGGUCACAUGAGGAAACGAACAUAAACGAACAACUUCCAAACAUUUGGAUGUUACAGGGAACCUUUGCAGGGCCCCAUCUGUGGGUGCUAGCUCACCUCUGGUCCACCCUCUGACUCCCUAAGAUAUCAUCUUCAUGGUAAAUGCCAAGUUAUAAUCUCAUGGUGACUGAUUUGCAAUAAAUAAAUGAUAAUGUACUA